UACGUAGGCGGCAAGCGUUGUCCGGAUUUACUGGGUGUAAAGGGCGCGUAGGCGGGAUUGCAAGUCAGGUGUGAAAUCUCCGGGCUUAACCCGGAAAUUGCAUUUGAAACUGUAGUUCUUGAGUAUCGGAGAGGCAAGCGGAAUUCCUAGUGUAGCGGUGAAAUGCGUAGAUAUUUGGAGGAACACCAGUGGCGAAGGCGGCUUGCUGGACGACAACUGACGCUGAGGCGCGAAAGCGUGGGGGGCAAAC
RNAcentral lists this ribosomal RNA (250 nucleotides) under uncultured prokaryote. RNAcentral describes it as "partial 16S ribosomal RNA". It matches the Rfam family "Bacterial small subunit ribosomal RNA", at positions 524 to 773 of the family's 1533-position model. The record is from RNAcentral.